Molecule: long non-coding RNA, 2577 nt
Filed under: Salmo trutta (river trout)
Lineage: Eukaryota; Metazoa; Chordata; Actinopteri; Salmoniformes; Salmonidae
Description: lncRNA (ENSSTUG00000027540.1)
Source: RNAcentral
AUGCAGCCAGCCAGCCAGCCAGUCAGUCAGCCAGCCAGCCAGCGGAGCACCCUUCCAUCUGCAGUAAUCAGCAGUCUAAUGCUCUAUAACAUGCAGCCAGUCAGCCAGCCAGCCAGUCAGCCAGCCAGCCAGCCAGCCAGCCAGCCAGCCAGCCAGCCUUCCAUCUGCUCACAGUGGAGAGAAAACAAGCAGCAUCUUUGUCAGAUGUGCCUUUGGAGUUCAGCUUUUGGAUCUACACUGUUCUGUUGUUCUGUCGGGUACCCAUUUCAGAUGUUCUGUUGUGUACCACCCAUUUCAGAUGUUCUGUCGGGUACCCAUUUCAGAUGUUCUGUUGGGUACCCAUUUCAGAUGUUCUGUUGUGUACCACCCAUUUCAAAUGUUCUGUUGGGUACCCAUUUCAGAUGUUCUGUCGGGUACCCAUUCAGAUGUUCUGUUGGGUACCCAUUUCAGAUGUUCUGUUGGGUAACCAUUUCAGAUGUUCUGUCGGGUACCCAUUUCAGAUGUUCUGUCGGGUACCCAUUUCAGAUGUUCUGUCGGGUACCCAUUUCAGAUGUUCUGUCGGGUACCCAUUUCAGAUGUUCUGUCGGGUACCCAUUUCAGAUGUUCUGUCGGGUACCCAUUUCAGAUGUUCUGUCGGGUACCCAUUUCAGAUGUUCUGUCGGGUACCCAUUUCAGAUGUUCUGUCGGGUACCCAUUUCAGAUGUUCUGUCGGGUACCCAUUUCAGAUGUUCUGUCGGGUACCCAUUUCAGAUGUUCUGUUGGGUACCCAUUUCAGAUGUUCUGUUGGGUACCCAUUUCAGAUGUUCUGUCGGGUACCCAUUUCAGAUGUUCUGUCGGGUACCCAUUUCAGAUGUUCUGUUGGGUACCCAUUUCAGAUGUUCUGUCGGGUACCCAUUUCAGAUGUUCUGUUGGGUACCCAUUUCAGAUGUUCUGUUCGUUGCAGAAGAAAAUAGUAUAUUUAAAAACAUUUAAAAUGACUUGUCAAAAUGUUAGUGUGUUCUUCUUUCUUUGUCAACCUCAAAGUAAAAAUGAAUGAAUGUACCGUGUUGAAUUCAGGGAGACGAGCGGAGUGGCAGCUGUUUGUAGCCUGGAGCAAUAGCUGCAUGGUCAGCGGGCUAGUGGCUCAGGGAGGGGGUCAGCGGGCUAGUGGCUCAAGGAGGGGGUCAGCGGGCUAGUGGCUCAGGGAGGGGGUCAGCGGGCUAGCGGCUCAGGGAGGGGGUCAGCGGGCUAGUGGCUCAGGGAGGGGGUCAGCGGGCUAGUGGCUCAGGGAGGGGAUCAGCGGGCUAGUGGCUCAGGGAGGGGGUCAGCGGGCUAGUGGCUCAAGGAGGGGGUCAGCGGGCUAGUGGCUCAGGGAGGGGGUCAGCGGGCUAGCGGCUCAGGGAGGGGGUCAGCGGGCUAGUGGCUCAGGGAGGGGAUCAGUGGCUCAGGGAGGGGAUCAGCGGGCUAGUGGCUCAGGGAGGGGGUCAGCGGCUCAGGGAGGGGGUCAGCGGGCUAGUGGCUCAGGGAGGGGGUCAGCGGGCUAGUGGCUCAGGGAGGGGGUCAGCGGGCUAGUGGCUCAGGGAGGGGGUCAGCGGGCUAGUGGCUCAGGGAGGGGGUCAGUGGCUCAGGGAGGGGAUCAGCGGGCUAGCGGCUCAGGGAGGGGAUCAGCGGGCUAGUGGCUCAGGGAGGGGGUCAGCGGGCUAGUGGCUCAGGGAGGGGGUCAGUGGCUCAGGGAGGGGGUCAGCGGGCUAGUGGCUCAGGGAGGGGGCCGCCUGGUUUAACCAUUCUAUUCUAUUAUAGUAGCUUUGCAAAAAAAUAAAUAUGUAAAAACGUGUUUUAAGAAGUCAAAAAUGUAAAUGGUUCUUUAACAAUAAAACUGGGAUAAAUAAAUACUUUAUACAGAUGUAUUUCUCUGAUACUAUACAAAUCACAAUGGUUGUGAAUGUAUUAAUGUUAUGAACAACGGAAUAAAACUGAAGACCAAUUGUCCUCUUGAUUCUUAUUGUUACUAAAACGGAUAACUGCCUCAGAACGCUGUUCAUUGACUACAGCUCAGCGUUCAACACCAUAUAGUGGCCUCAAAGCUCAUCACUAAGCUAAGGACCCUGGGACUAAACACUUCCCUCUGCAACUAGACUUCCUGAUGGGCCGCCCCCGAGGUGGUGAGGGUAGGCAACAACACGUCUGCCACGCUGAUCCUCAACACAGGGGCCCCUCAGGGGUGCGUGCUCAGUCCCCUCCUGUACUCCCUGUUCACCCACGACUGCGUGGCCAAGCACGACUCCAACACCAUCAUUAAGUUUGCUGACAACACAACAGUGGUAGGUCUGAUCACCGACAACGAUGAGACAGCCUAUAGGGAGGAGGUCAGAGACUGUUCUCUCUGCUACCGCACUGCAAGCAGUACCGGAGCGCUAAGUCUAGGACCUACAGGCUCCUUAACAGCUUCUACCCCCAAGACAUAAGACUGUUGAACAAUUAACUAUUUACAUUGUUUUGUACACUGCUGCUACUCGCUGUUUAUUAUCUAUGCAUAGUUACUUCACCCCUACCUACAUGUACAAAUUACCUCUAUCCUGUACACUGACUCGGUACCGG